AUCCCAUGAUGUGGAUAGUCAGCCAUAUAUUCCUGAAGUCGUUCCCACGCCUCAGGAAUGGACUCGUCCCUUGUCUGCUGGAAACUUGAAAUUCUUCCACGAAUGGCGUU
This 110-nucleotide small nucleolar RNA is filed under the name Oryza rufipogon (brownbeard rice). Its description in RNAcentral is "Plant small nucleolar RNA R71". It matches the Rfam family "Plant small nucleolar RNA R71". Rfam says of the family: R71 is a member of the C/D box family of snoRNAs containing the C (UGAUGA) and D (CUGA) box motifs. The record is from Rfam by way of RNAcentral. Lineage: Eukaryota; Viridiplantae; Streptophyta; Magnoliopsida; Poales; Poaceae.